AUCCGGCUAACGAGUCCCAAAUAGGACGAAACGCGCUUCAAGCUGGAU
This is a non-coding RNA of Schistosoma mansoni, 48 nucleotides long. NCBI's taxonomy places the organism in Eukaryota, Metazoa, Platyhelminthes, Trematoda, Strigeidida, Schistosomatidae. The record is from Rfam.